Long non-coding RNA from Betta splendens (Siamese fighting fish), 329 nucleotides. RefSeq lists it as uncharacterized. The transcript is spliced from 3 exons. The record is from RefSeq and is a predicted model, not a curated record. Lineage: Eukaryota; Metazoa; Chordata; Actinopteri; Anabantiformes; Osphronemidae.
GGAAGAGCAGAAAUCCCCAGUGCACUUGAACACACCAUCUUCUUACGGUUUGAUCUGUGCUUUGUGCGGACUCCCGCACCCCGAUGACCAGCUGAGAGUCAAAGGCCUCUCCCAGCCUCUCAGCAUGCACAAGCUUCAUGGCGCUAUCCUGGAGCCUGUUUUUAAUGUUGGAGAAGAUGGACUCAUUCCAUAACUCCAGCUCCUCCUCACCUUGCGAACGAUGCUGUCCUCCAUGUUAGAUUUUUUGCUGCUUCCUUGCUUUCCCAUCAGAGUGAUCUCCAGCUGGCAAAAAGGCUUGGGCAAGAUGUCACACUGUGUGAAGAACUUCC